RNAcentral lists this transfer RNA (76 nucleotides) under Candidatus Niyogiibacteriota bacterium. RNAcentral's name for it is "Candidatus Niyogibacteria bacterium tRNA-Thr". It matches the Rfam family "tRNA". Rfam says of the family: Transfer RNA (tRNA) molecules are approximately 80 nucleotides in length. Their secondary structure includes four short double-helical elements and three loops (D, anti-codon, and T loops). The record is from RNAcentral. Lineage: Bacteria; Candidatus Niyogiibacteriota.
GCCGGAGUAGCUCAGUUGGCAGAGCAGUGCUUUCGUAAAGCAAAGGUCGGGAGUUCGAAUCUCCCCUCCGGCUCCA